UUCUUCAUCUCUUAGGCUUGCACACAUUGCGUGCAAACACCCCAAAGCACUUUCAAACUGAUUUUACCAUUUUUCCUACUUCCUUCUCCUCAAAUUUGCACCUCUCCAUAAAAGAAUUUCUUUUGAUGUCGAGCCAGAUCGUGAAUCAAGAUUGGAGAAACGUAGUAACUCAACAAAAUCAACAGUUUUUUCCAUCUAUAACAUUUGAAGAAUCCGAAGAAAAAAACAAAUGGUCAUUUUCCAUGAAACUUCCAGGUUUUUCAAAGGACCGACUGCGAAUCAACUUGAAUACAAGAACAAGAAUUAUUGUAGUUACAGGACAAAAAUCAGAUGGCUUGUUCAAUAUUACUCGUUUGAAUGAACGGGUAACAAUCAAAGAGGAUUGCUUGUUAGAGGGAGUACAAGCAAAGUUGUCCAAUGACACUCUUAUUGUCACAUUUGAGAAGGAAAAGAAAUAAAUUUUUAUUUUCAUACAAAUCAUGAAUUACUCCAUAUACGAAUAAAGAUCAACUUCUAUGUUCCCAGUAGAGUUGGUCGUGUGUAUAGAAACUUAUAUCCAUAUUUGUAAUUCAAAUUAUGUAUGAAUGUUAGUGUAUACAUCGUAACCACUCUCCAACAUUUACCUACUCAUAUGGUCGUUGUAGAAGAAAUUUCAAUGUCUUGUUUAUUUGGUGGAAUAUUUAUGUAUGAAUUAAAGUAUUAAAUUAGAGUAGCUCUUCUUUCA
Molecule: long non-coding RNA, 724 nt
Organism: Cucumis sativus (cucumber)
Lineage: Eukaryota; Viridiplantae; Streptophyta; Magnoliopsida; Cucurbitales; Cucurbitaceae
Exons: 2
Source: RefSeq, a predicted model, not a curated record